This is a long non-coding RNA of Octopus sinensis (East Asian common octopus), 158 nucleotides long. RefSeq lists it as uncharacterized. The record is from RefSeq and is a predicted model, not a curated record. The transcript has 3 exons. Lineage: Eukaryota; Metazoa; Mollusca; Cephalopoda; Octopoda; Octopodidae.
CACACACACAUAUAUAUACAACGGGAUUCUUUCAGUUUCCGUUUACCAAAUCCACUCACAAGGCUUUGGUCGACCCAAGGCUAUAGUAGAAGACAGUUUCCCAAGGUGUGACGCAGUUGAACUGAACCCGGAACCAUGUGGUUGGUAAGCAAGCUACU